This 497-nucleotide ribosomal RNA is filed under the name uncultured bacterium. Its description in RNAcentral is "partial 16S ribosomal RNA". It matches the Rfam family "Bacterial small subunit ribosomal RNA", at positions 28 to 507 of the family's 1533-position model. The record is from RNAcentral.
GAUGAACGCUGGCGGCGUGCCUAAUACAUGCAAGUCGAGCGAACAGACGAGGAGCUUGCUCCUCUGACGUUAGCGGCGGACGGGUGAGUAACACGUGGAUAACCUACCUAUAAGACUGGGAUAACUUCGGGAAACCGGAGCUAAUACCGGAUAACAUGUUGAACCGCAUGGUUCAACAGUGAAAGACGGUCUUGCUGUCACUUAUAGAUGGAUCCGCGCCGCAUUAGCUAGUUGGUAAGGUAACGGCUUACCAAAGCAACGAUGCGUAGCCGGCCUGAGAGGGUGAUCGGCCACACUGGAACUGAGACACGGUCCAGACUCCUACGGGAGGCAGCAGUAGGGAAUCUUCCGCAAUGGGCGAAAGCCGGACGGAGCAACGCCGCGUGAGUGAAGAAGGUCUUCGGAUCUUAAAACUCUGUUAUUAGGGAAGAACAAAUGUGUAAGUAACUAUGCACGUCUUGACGGUACCUAAUCAGAAAGCCACGGCUAACUACGUG